This 445-nucleotide ribosomal RNA is filed under the name uncultured bacterium. Its description in RNAcentral is "bacterial SSU rRNA". It matches the Rfam family "Bacterial small subunit ribosomal RNA", at positions 354 to 796 of the family's 1533-position model. The record is from RNAcentral.
GUGAGGAAUAUUGCGCAAUGGAGGCAACUCUGACGCAGCCAUGCCGCGUGCAGGAAGAAGGCGCUACGCGUUGUAAACUGCUUUUAACCGGGAAGAAACCCCAGGACGUGUCCUGGGUUGACGGUACCGGAGGAAUAAGCACCGGCUAACUUCGUGCCAGCAGCCGCGGUAAUACGAAGGGUGCAAGCGUUAUCCGGAUUCAUUGGUUUUAAAGGGUGCGUAGGCGGAUCGUUAAGUCAGUGGUGAAAUCCUGCAGCUUAAAUGUAGACUUGCCAUUGAUACUGGCGCUCUUGAGUGCGCUUGAAGUGGGCGGAAUGUGCCGUGUAGCGGUGAAAUGCUUAGAUAUGGCACAGAACACCAAUUGCGAAGGCAGCUUGCUGAACCAUUAUUGACGCUGAGGCACGAAAGCGUGGGGAGCGAACAGGAUUAGAUACCCGAGUAGUCC